ACUCCUACGGGAGGCAGCAGUGGGGAAUAUUGCACAAUGGGCGCAAGCCUGAUGCAGCCAUGCCGCGUGUAUGAAGAAGGCCUUCGGGUUGUAAAGUACUUUCAGCAGUGAGGAAGGUGGGUAUGUUAAUAGCAUACUCAUUUGACGUUAGCUGCAGAAGAAGCACCGGCUAACUCCGUGCCAGCAGCCGCGGUAAUACGGAGGGUGCGAGCGUUAAUCGGAAUUACUGGGCGUAAAGCGCAUGCAGGUGGUUUGUUAAGUCAGAUGUGAAAGCCCGGGGCUCAACCUCGGAAUUGCAUUUGAAACUGGGCAAACUAGAGUACUGUAGAGGGGGGUAGAAUUUCAGGUGUAGCGGUGAAAUGCGUAGAGAUCUGAAGGAAUACCGGUGCGAAGGCGGCCCCCUGGACAGAUACUGACACUCAGAUGCGAAAGCGUGGGGAGCAAACAGGAUUAGAUACCUGGUAGGCUCUGC
Molecule: ribosomal RNA, 472 nt
Filed under: uncultured bacterium
Lineage: Bacteria
Description: bacterial SSU rRNA
Rfam family: Bacterial small subunit ribosomal RNA
Source: RNAcentral